CAGUAGCCGCGGUAAUACGUAGGGUGCGAGCGUUAAUCGGAAUUACUGGGCGUAAAGCGUGCGCAGGCGGUUGUGUAAGACAGGUGCGAAAUCCCCGGGCUUAACCUGGGAACUGCGCUUGUGACUGCACAGCUAGAGUAUGGCAGAGGGGGGUGGAAUUCCACGUGUAGCAGUGAAAUGCGUAGAGAUGUGGAGGAACACCGAUGGCGAAGGCAGCCCCCUGGGCCAAUACUGACGCUCAUGCACGAAAGCGUGGGGAGCAAACAGGAUUAGAUACCCCCGUAGUCCCUGUCUCUUAUAA
Molecule: ribosomal RNA, 301 nt
Filed under: uncultured bacterium
Lineage: Bacteria
Description: partial 16S ribosomal RNA
Rfam family: Bacterial small subunit ribosomal RNA
Source: RNAcentral